AGAUGAGACUUCCAUACCUUCGGGUGAGAGGCUCCCAGCCAGACUACUGGGUUGAUAGGCCAGAUGUGGAAGCACGGUAACGUGUGCAGCUGACUGGUACUAAUAAGCCGAUGACUUGAUAAC
This 123-nucleotide ribosomal RNA is filed under the name Microbacterium sp. Its description in RNAcentral is "partial 23S ribosomal RNA". It matches the Rfam family "Bacterial large subunit ribosomal RNA", at positions 2802 to 2925 of the family's 2925-position model. Lineage: Bacteria; Bacillati; Actinomycetota; Actinomycetes; Micrococcales; Microbacteriaceae. The record is from RNAcentral.